CCUACGGGGGGCAGCAGUGAGGAAUAUUGGUCAAUGGACGAGAGUCUGAACCAGUCAAGUAGCGUGAAGGAUGACUGCCCUAUGGGUUGUAAACUUCUUUUAUAAAGGAAUAAAACGAGGCACGUGUGCCUUUUUGCAUGUACUUUAUGAAUAAGGAUCGGCUAACUCCGUGCCAGCAGCCGCGGUAAUACGGCGGAUCCGAGCGUUAUCCGGAUUUAUUGGGUUUAAAGGGAGCGUAGAUGGGUUGUUAAGUCAGUUGUGAAAGUUUGCGGCUCAACCGUAAAAUUGCAAUUGAUACUGGCAGUCUUGAGUACAGUUGAGGUAGGCAGAAUUCGUGGUGUAGCGGUGAAAUGCUUAGAUAUCACGAAGAACCCCGAUUGCGAAGGCAGCUUACUAAACUGUGACUGACAUUGAUGCUCGAAAGUGUGGGGAUCAAACAGGAUUAGAUACCCCUGUAGUC
RNAcentral lists this ribosomal RNA (460 nucleotides) under uncultured bacterium. RNAcentral describes it as "partial 16S ribosomal RNA". It matches the Rfam family "Bacterial small subunit ribosomal RNA", at positions 338 to 795 of the family's 1533-position model. The record is from RNAcentral.